This 308-nucleotide ribosomal RNA is filed under the name uncultured bacterium. Its description in RNAcentral is "bacterial SSU rRNA". It matches the Rfam family "Bacterial small subunit ribosomal RNA", at positions 30 to 342 of the family's 1533-position model. The record is from RNAcentral.
AUUGAACGCUGGCGGAAUGCUUUACACAUGCAAGUCGAGCGGCAGCGCGGGGCAACCUGGCGGCGAGCGGCGAACGGGUGAGUAAUACAUCGGAACGUGCCCAGACGUGGGGGAUAACUACUCGAAAGAGUGGCUAAUACCGCAUACGAUCUAAGGAUGAAAGCGGGGAUCGCAAGACCUCGCGCGUUUGGAGCGGCCGAUGGCAGAUUAGGUAGUUGGUGGGGUAAAGGCUUACCCAAGCCGCGAUCUGUAGCUGGUCUGAGAGGAUGAUCAGCACACUGGGACUGAGACACGGCCCAGACUCCUAC